AGAGUUUGAUCAUGGCUCAGGAUGAACGCUGGCGGCGUGCCUAACACAUGCAAGUCGAGCGAUUCUCUUCGGAGAAGAGCGGCGGACGGGUGAGUAACGCGUGGGUAACCUGCCCUGUACACACGGAUAACAUACCGAAAGGUAUGCUAAUACGAGAUAAUAUGCUUUUGUCGCAUGGUAGAAGUAUCAAAGCUUUUGCGGUACAGGAUGGACCCGCGUCUGAUUAGCUAGUUGGUAAGGUAACGGCUUACCAAGGCGACGAUCAGUAGCCGACCUGAGAGGGUGAUCGGCCACAUUGGAACUGAGACACGGUCCAAACUCCUACGGGAGGCAGCAGUGGGGAAUAUUGCACAAUGGGCGAAAGCCUGAUGCAGCAACGCCGCGUGAGCGAUGAAGGCCUUCGGGUCGUAAAGCUCUGUCCUCAAGGAAGAUAAUGACGGUACUUGAGGAGGAAGCCCCGGCUAACUACGUGCCAGCAGCCGCGGUAAUACGUAGGGGGCUAGCGUUAUCCGGAAUUACUGGGCGUAAAGGGUGCGUAGGUGGUUUCUUAAGUCAGAGGUGAAAGGCUACGGCUCAACCGUAGUAAGCCUUUGAAACUGGGAAACUUGAGUGCAGGAGAGGAGAGUGGAAUUCCUAGUGUAGCGGUGAAAUGCGUAGAUAUUAGGAGGAACACCAGUUGCGAAGGCGGCUCUCUGGACUGUAACUGACACUGAGGCACGAAAGCGUGGGGAGCAAACAGGAUUAGAUACCCUGGUAGUCCACGCCGUAAACGAUGAGUACUAGCUGUCGGAGGUUACCCCCUUCGGUGGCGCAGCUAACGCAUUAAGUACUCCGCCUGGGAAGUACGCUCGCAAGAGUGAAACUCAAAGGAAUUGACGG
This 879-nucleotide ribosomal RNA is filed under the name uncultured bacterium. Its description in RNAcentral is "bacterial SSU rRNA". It matches the Rfam family "Bacterial small subunit ribosomal RNA", at positions 8 to 916 of the family's 1533-position model. The record is from RNAcentral.